GAGACUGGUUUGGGGAACCACCCUCUGUCCUAAGUGGCUGCUGUGCAGUCUUUGUGGCUAUUUUGGGUCUGUACUCUGCAAGAGUGAGCUGGCGCCCCCACCCGAGCCAGCACACCCAGGGCGGAGGGAGCCAGGGUACUGGGAGAAGCGCACGGACCUGCCUCUGACUGGGGAAGGGUGCCGUAUGGCCCUGCUCUGCGUCCAGGUCAGAGGGCUGGAAGCCCUUUGGCGCUGGGGAGAUGCUGACUUCUGGUAGAAGUUGAUGUUCCAGGGAUCCAAAGACCCCUCUCUAUCACUGGGCUGUGCGAUCUCAGGGCGCAGAGUACCCAAAGACCUGGGGAUUGAGCUCAGGCCUUGCGCUUGCCAGGGAAGCACUCGUUCCACGGAGCCAUCUCCCCGGCUCCCCAGGUACUGCUCUAUAACCCCAUUUCAUAGAUGAAGAAGUUGAGGCUCAGAGGGACCAAAGGUUCUUUCCAAGAUUACUCAACUGACUGCAGUCGAAAGGCCAAGGGAAUUUCAGAGUCCCAGCUGUGGGGGGCCCUGUCUCACUUCAGGAUGGACAGCUCUCCUCAGAAGCAGCCUCAGCCCUGGAAGCCCCUUCAAGGUCAUGGGGUUUAGCUAGCCCUUCGUCCUGCAGUGCUGUUGACCACAGCCCUGGCUUGAGCUUGCGUGGCACAAGGGGCAGGAGGCGCACUGCUUCUGGGCACAGCUCACUCUGCUGUGGGGCAGGACUGAUGGCGGGCGUGGGGUCCCAUUGAGGGCACCCAGACUGGUCUCCUUAUGGGAUACGCCGUGGUACUUUGUGCCAGUUCAACCCUAGGGCCACACAGCCCAGGUCAGCUCCCUCUGCCCCCGUUCCCUCAGGAUGUUACCCUGCAGGUCUUCCUUCCUUAUGGGAGGCCAAAGGCCCACGGGGGAACAUCUCUGCUGUUUUGGGGAAGGAGACCACGGCAGUCCUGCCUUCUGCCUGAAAAUUAUUUUCCUAUUAUUUUAGCCCAAAUGGAACUCCUGUUGUAGCAGCCCACUGCGCGCUGACAUCACCGUCCUCUCCUAUGAGCUUCUGGGGAGCCGUGUGGCCCCUUGUGCCAAGCUGGACCAAUAAAUACACUUGAAUCACUCCACUUCUCCAAGUCCAGGCUGGGGAGGAAUUGCUAAUGGUGCUUU
This is a long non-coding RNA of Octodon degus (degu), 1164 nucleotides long. RefSeq lists it as uncharacterized. NCBI's taxonomy places the organism in Eukaryota, Metazoa, Chordata, Mammalia, Rodentia, Octodontidae. The transcript has 3 exons. The record is from RefSeq and is a predicted model, not a curated record.